This 464-nucleotide ribosomal RNA is filed under the name uncultured bacterium. RNAcentral's name for it is "partial 16S ribosomal RNA". It matches the Rfam family "Bacterial small subunit ribosomal RNA", at positions 339 to 795 of the family's 1533-position model. The record is from RNAcentral.
CUACGGGUCGCUGCAGUGAGGAAUUUUGCGCAAUGGGGGAAACCCUGACGCAGCAACGCCGCGUGAGUGAAGAAGGCCCUCGGGUCGUAAAGCUCUGUCAAGUGGGAAAAAAGCCUUUUGAUCAAUACCCAAAAGGUUUGAUGGUACCACUGGAGGAAGCACCGGCUAACUCCGUGCCAGCAGCCGCGGUAAUACGGAGGGUGCAAGCGUUGUUCGGAAUUACUGGGCGUAAAGGGCGUGCAGGCGGUUUGGCAAGUCAGAUGUGAAAGCCCUGGGCUUAACCCGGGAAGUGCAUUUGAAACUGCCUUUCUUGAGUAUGGGAGAGGAGAGGGGAAUUCCCAGUGUAGAGGUGAAAUUCGUAGAUAUUGGGAGGAACACCCGUGGCGAAGGCGACUCUCUGGACCAAUACUGACGCUGAGACGCGAAAGCGUGGGGAGCAAACAGGAUUAGAUACCCGGGUAGUC